GAGCUCAGUGAUAGAGCUUCUGCCUUGCAUUUAGAAGGUCCCAAGUUCAAUCCCUGGUAUCUCCA
Podarcis lilfordi (Lilford's wall lizard) is the source of this 65-nucleotide non-coding RNA. The record is from the annotation of a GenBank genome assembly. Lineage: Eukaryota; Metazoa; Chordata; Lepidosauria; Squamata; Lacertidae.